RNAcentral lists this ribosomal RNA (468 nucleotides) under uncultured bacterium. Its description in RNAcentral is "partial 16S ribosomal RNA". It matches the Rfam family "Bacterial small subunit ribosomal RNA", at positions 28 to 507 of the family's 1533-position model. The record is from RNAcentral.
GACGAACGCUGGCGGCGUGCUUAACACAUGCAAGUCGAACGGAAAGGCCCUGCUUUUGUGGGGUGCUCGAGUGGCGAACGGGUGAGUAACACGUGAGUAACCUGCCCUUGACUUUGGGAUAACUUCAGGAAACUGGGGCUAAUACCGGAUAGGAGUUCCUGCUGCAUGGUGGGGGUUGGUAAGUUUCGGCGGUUGGGGAUGGACUCGCGGCUUAUCAGCUUGUUGGUGGGGUAGUGGCUUACCAAGGCUUUGACGGGUAGCCGGCCUGGGAGGGUGACCGGCCCCAUUGGGACUGAGAUACGGCCCAGACUCCUACGGGAGGCAGCAGUGGGGAAUAUUGCACAAUGGGCGGAAGCCUGAUGCAGCAACGCCGCGUGCGGGAUGACGGCCUUCGGGUUGUAAACCGCUUUCGCCUGUGACGAAGCGUGAGUGACGGUAAUGGGUAAAGAAGCACCGGCUAACUACGUG